GAAGCAUAUCAAUAAGCGGAGGAAAAGAAACCAACAGGGAUUGCCCCAGUAACGGCGAGUGAAGCGGCAACAGCUCAAAUUUGAAAUCUGGCCCCAGGCCCGAGUUGUAAUUUGCAGAGGAUGCUUUUGGCGCGGUGCCUUCCGAGUUCCCUGGAACGGGACGCCAUAGAGGGUGAGAGCCCCGUACGGUUGGACACCAAGUCUUUGUAAAGCUCCUUCGACGAGUCGAGUAGUUUGGGAAUGCUGCUCAAAAUGGGAGGUAUAUUUCUUCUAAAGCUAAAUAUUGGCCAGAGACCGAUAGCGCACAAGUAGAGUGAUCGAAAGAUGAAAAGCACUUUGAAAAGAGGGUUAAACAGCACGUGAAAUUGUUAAAAGGGAAGCGCUUAUGACCAGACUUGCGCCCGGUGAAUCACCCAGCUCUCGCGGCUGGGGCACUUUGCCGGCUCAGGCCAGCAUCAGCUCGCUGUCGGGGACAAAAGCUUCGGGAACGUAGCUCUCUUCGGGGAGUGUUAUAGCCCGUUGCACAAUACCCUUCGGCGGGCUGAGGUACGCGCUCCGCAAGGAUGCUGGCGUAAUGGUCAUCAGCGACCCGUCUUGAAACACGGACCAAGGAGUCAACCUUAUGUGCGAGUGUUUGGGUGUCAAACCCCUACGCGUAAUGAAAGUGAACGCAGGUGAGAGCUUCGGCGCAUCAUCGACCGAUCCUGAUGUUCUCGGAUGGAUUUGAGUAAGAGCAUAUAGGGUUGGACCCGAAAGAAGGUGAACUAUGCGUGUAUAGGGUGAAGCCAGAGGAAACUCUGGUGGAGGCUCGCAGCGGUUCUGACGUGCAAAUCGAUCGUCAAAUAUGCGCAUGGGGGCGAAAGACUAAUCGAACCUUCUAGUAGCUGGUUUCCGCCGAA
Molecule: ribosomal RNA, 899 nt
Filed under: Colletotrichum boninense
Lineage: Eukaryota; Fungi; Ascomycota; Sordariomycetes; Glomerellales; Glomerellaceae
Description: LSU rRNA
Rfam family: Eukaryotic large subunit ribosomal RNA
Source: RNAcentral